Molecule: ribosomal RNA, 502 nt
Filed under: uncultured bacterium
Lineage: Bacteria
Description: partial 16S ribosomal RNA
Rfam family: Bacterial small subunit ribosomal RNA
Source: RNAcentral
AUUGAACGCUGGCGGCAUGCCUUACACAUGCAAGUCGAACGGCAGCAUAGGAGCUUGCACCUGAUGGCGAGUGGCGAACGGGUGAGUAAUAUAUCGGAACGUGCCCUAGAGUGGGGGAUAACUAGUCGAAAGACUAGCUAAUACCGCAUACGAUCUACGGAUGAAAGUGGGGGAUCGCAAGACCUCAUGCUCCUGGAGCGGCCGAUAUCUGAUUAGCUAGUUGGUGGGGUAAAAGCCUACCAAGGCAACGAUCAGUAGCUGGUCUGAGAGGACGACCAGCCACACUGGGACUGAGACACGGCCCAGACUCCUACGGGAGGCAGCAGUGGGGAAUUUUGGACAAUGGGGGCAACCCUGAUCCAGCAAUGCCGCGUGAGUGAAGAAGGCCUUCGGGUUGUAAAGCUCUUUUGUCAGGGAAGAAACGGUAGUAGCGAAUAACUAUUACUAAUGACGGUACCUGAAGAAUAAGCACCGGCUAACUACGUGCCAGCAGCCGCGGUAA